AAUCAACGCUGGCGGCGUGCCUAACACAUGCAAGUCGAACGCGAAAGCCCCGCAAGGGGUAAGUAGAGUGGCAAACGGGUGAGUAACACGUGGGUGAUCUGCCCUCGAGUGGGGGAUAACGUCCCGAAAGGGACGCUAAUACCGCAUAAUAUGCCGCCUUUGAAAAGGUAGGACAUCAAAGCGUGGGGAGUCGCAAGACCUAGCGCUUGAA
This 211-nucleotide ribosomal RNA is filed under the name uncultured bacterium. RNAcentral describes it as "partial 16S ribosomal RNA". It matches the Rfam family "Bacterial small subunit ribosomal RNA", at positions 32 to 223 of the family's 1533-position model. The record is from RNAcentral.